UUUGACGAGAUAUUAACUGUUUCAUAAAAAUUUAUAAUAGAAUUUUAUUUUUUAGUCAAAAAGCUAAAAUAUAUUUAAAAGACGAGAAGACCCUAUAAAUCUUUAUAUUUAGGUUAUUAUAAUUUUAUAGAUUUUUUUUGUUAUAAUAAUUGAUAAUAUUUUAUUGGGGUGAUAUUAAAAUUUGAUAAACUUUUAAUUGUUUAAAUCAUUAAUUUAUGAAUAAUUGAUCCGUUAUUAGCGAUUAAAAAAAUAAGUUACC
This 259-nucleotide ribosomal RNA is filed under the name Chrysomya megacephala (oriental latrine fly). RNAcentral's name for it is "partial 16S ribosomal RNA". Lineage: Eukaryota; Metazoa; Arthropoda; Insecta; Diptera; Calliphoridae. The record is from RNAcentral.